Molecule: ribosomal RNA, 490 nt
Filed under: uncultured bacterium
Lineage: Bacteria
Description: partial 16S ribosomal RNA
Rfam family: Bacterial small subunit ribosomal RNA
Source: RNAcentral
AUUGAACGCUGGCGGCAGGCUUAACACAUGCAAGUCGAGCGGUAGCACAGGGGAGCUUGCCCCCUGGGUGACGAGCGGCGGACGGGUGAGUAAUGUCUGGGAAACUGCCUGAUGGAGGGGGAUAACUACUGGAAACGGUAGCUAAUACCGCAUAACGUCGCAAGACCAAAGAGGGGGACCUUCGGGCCUCUUGCCAUCAGAUGUGCCCAGAUGGGAUUAGCUAGUAGGUGGGGUAAUGGCUCACCUAGGCGACGAUCCCUAGCUGGUCUGAGAGGAUGACCAGCCACACUGGGACUGAAACACGGUCCAGACUCCUACGGGAGGCAGCAGUGGGGAAUAUUGCACAAUGGGCGCAAGCCUGAUGCAGCCAUGCCGCGUGUGUGAAGAAGGCCUUCGGGUUGUAAAGCACUUUCAGCGAGGAGGAAGGUGGUGAGCUUAAUACGUUCAUCAAUUGACGUUACUCGCAGAAGAAGCACCGGCUAACUCCGUG